CACCUACUACUUUUUCUCAUAAAUGUGACACAUUUUAGCAGUGAAAAAUUAAGUGUGUCUUAAAUGUUUGUUGAAUGAGUGAGUGAACGAAAGGACGAAAAUUCAGGAGAGCAAAGUUCAAGAGAAAAGAAAAUUUUAAGGCAUUGUCAAAUUCUCCGCAGAGAUUACAGAGGAUGACAUAUGAGAAAACGUCAUUGGAUUUAGCAAGAAGUAGGUCAUUGGCAAAAUUUAGGGACACCUCAGUGUGGUAGUAACAGAACCUAAAUAGAAGGGAUUUAAGGCAAGAAUGAGUGGAUGGGAAGUUUGCAGCUGCAAAUGAAAACUAUUUAUUUAAAAGAAUUGUUAGUAAACUAAAUGUGAGAAAGAGUUCAGUUGCUAAAAGGAAAGCAAGUUGUGUGUGUGUGUGUGUGUGUGUGUGUGUGUGUGUGUGUGGCUUUUCAAAGAGAAACAAACCUGCUUGGAGAUAACAGAGAAACAAAUAUUGAUGGGUAAAACAAUAAAACUGAUAAUUUGAGAUUAAGGGUGGUUCUAUUUAUGGUAGGUUUAAGUCUAUGAUGGUUGAUCAUUGGAGACAAAUCCUGGAAGGAGGGAAGAAUUAUGUGCCAUGCAAGCUUAAAAAGGAAAUGUUCAUGGAGGUGAUAGAGUUACAAUUUCCUUAGUUCCUGUCUUGCUGUAGCAAAGCAUUGGAACAGUGGACGUUUUAAAAAUUUAUUAAAGCAAAAGUACAUUUACAGAGAGAGACUGAGAACUCACGUGCUCACGGGUUAAAAAGAGAGCCUGACUCACUCUGCAAUUGUUUUUAUACCACAUAAUGAGGAUCUGAGUGGAGACCCAAUUUCUCCUGCUGUGCACAAGGGCUGAGUGUUGUUUGAUCUCUGUAUGGGACACAUUUGAUCCAAAUGGUUUUGGGCAGGGCAGCUAAUUUACGUGGGGAACAGGUUAUAUAGAGGUGGGGUGAGGAAAGAGUGACUGCCCUACCAGGCUCUUCAAGGUGGGGGAAGGGGCAUUACAAAGAGAUAUGUGGCUUUUGAAGGAGACUUGAAGCCUAUAACAGAGGUUUAGCAUCCCAACCAGGUGGUGCCAUCAGGAGGCCUUCUAGCAUGCUAUCACCAGAGUAAAUUUGCUAGGGACCAGGUACUAAGCAGGUCCAGACAUGCCAACUUCCCAAUUUCAUUAGUCUUAGGCUGUGCCCCAUCGGUUCACUGGAAUUACUUUUGAGACAGUCGUAAGUAAUGUGGAAGAUCCUAACCUAUCUCUUGGCCUUCUUAGUUGUAUACCAAAUUGCAACUAGAACCCCCAUUUUGGUGUCCCACAAAUAUUUCAAAAUUAACAUGCCACAAACUGGGCUUACCAUCCUUUUAUAUGAGCUCCUCAUCUGAAUUCCCAAUAUUAGACACUAUACUCAUCAUUUCCUAUCCAUUAGACAAAGUCUAGAAUCAUCUUAGAAUCCUCUUUCUUCCUUUUCCCUCUUAUAAUCUAAUCAAGCUCUUAAGUCAUUUUUAGUCUGGGGGAAUAGAGGUCUACCUCGACUCCACCCCUCUUACCCAAAGAGAGAGAGGAGAUGAUAAUCUGAUUGUUGGCUCCCAAGACACAGAUCUAGUUAGGCUGAGUGGUGACUGUAAUGAAAGUGUGUUGAGAGGAUAUACAACUAGGUGUUGUUUCAUUCUUUUCUCUCUAUUCCAAGCAAGCAGCCAAAGUUGUAAGCAACUGUAGUCCUAAUCUUUUCGACCUUCUCUCCUGUUUUUAAUUGCAUAUGACUAGUAAGAGUAUAUUAAAGCUAUGUCUAGGCUUUUAGGCCUCUGCCCAUGUUCAUUGUUUGGAACUUAAAAGUUUUGUUAACAGCAGUUUUUUCCUACACCUGAUGAAUUCCCUUAUUUGGUAAGUCUUUAGUGAUUUUUCUAUGGUCUCCGUCUACACAUAUUUCUACCUCCUUAAAACCUUCUCUGACCUUCCCUUCCCAAGGAAAGUUUGUGCUUGCUCUUGGACUACCUGCUCUUCUGGGCUUGUGUUGUGUUAUGUUUAUAUGUAUAAUACAUCUAUUAUUAUAGUCAAUAUCUUUUUUCUGACAAGUCUCUAAUUUUUUAAUUCCUAGUAGACUGAAUCACUUUGUAACUCCAGUGCUUAAUGUAGUGCUGGCAUAUGGUAAGCAUGUGGAGAAUAUUUGCUGGAUGGCACAGCAUAACGCUUCGUAUGUAGCAGGAGUGUAAUGUAUGCUAGUUCCUUUCACCCUCAUUAGCUUUACCAUCUAUUCUCCAUUCUUACCUCCUGAUUCCAUGAAAUGCAGUUGUGGGUCAAAAAGUGAUAUUGCUUAGGGAACUUUUAGCUCCCUUAUUUUGUAUCAAAGUUCUUGAAGCCAAAAUAGUAUGUGCAUGUUGCAGACUUGACCUCAUCACAUCUCAAAUAAAUACCUACAUCUUAAAUUAGAGAAAUGCAUCAAUAUUACCUUUUUCUUGAAAGGCUUGCUUUCCUGAUUCCAAAAGACCAUAUAAUCCUGGUUUUCCUCCUCUGUUCCUUCUUAGUUUAUUCACUCAACAAAUAUUUAUUGAGCAACCUUCAUAUAUUAGUUACUAUUUUAGGCACUGAGUAGUGAACAAAAUUUUUUAAAUUCUUCAUGCUGCUUAUCUUCUAGUGGAAGAAAUAUGCAUCAGGCAAGGUAAACAAGUAAAGCAUAUUGUAUGUUAGAUAAUGAUAAGUAUAAAGAAAAACAAUAGGGAGUUCCCAUCAUGGCUCAGUGGUUAACAAA
This 2743-nucleotide long non-coding RNA is filed under the name Sus scrofa (pig). RNAcentral's name for it is "lncRNA (ENSSSCG00005031822.1)". The record is from RNAcentral. Lineage: Eukaryota; Metazoa; Chordata; Mammalia; Artiodactyla; Suidae.